This 253-nucleotide ribosomal RNA is filed under the name uncultured bacterium. RNAcentral's name for it is "partial 16S ribosomal RNA". It matches the Rfam family "Bacterial small subunit ribosomal RNA", at positions 524 to 776 of the family's 1533-position model. The record is from RNAcentral.
UACGUAGGGGGCAAGCGUUGUCCGGAAUCAUUGGGCGUAAAGCGCGUGUAGGCGGCUCGGUAAGUCCGCUCUGAAAGUCUAGGGCUCAACCCUGGGAUGCGGGUGGAUACUGCCGGGCUCGAGUCCGGAAGAGGCGAGUGGAAUUCCCGGUGUAGCGGUGAAAUGCGCAGAUAUCGGGAGGAACACCAAUGGCGAGGGCAGCUCGCUGGGACGUGACUGACGCUGAGACGCGAAAGCGUGGGGAGCAAACAGG